GGCGGGACACGUGGUAUCCUGUCUGAAUAUGGGGGGACCAUCCUCCAAGGCUAAAUACUCCUGACUGACCGAUAGUGAACCAGUACCGUGAGGGAAAGGCGAAAAGAACCCCGGCGAGGGGAGUGAAAAAGAACCUGAAACCGUGUACGUACAAGCAGUGGGAGCCUCUUUAUGGGGUGACUGCGUACCUUUUGUAUAAUGGGUCAGCGACUUAUAUUCUGUAGCAAGGUUAACCGUAUAGGGGAGCCGAAGGGAAACCGAGUCUUAACUGGGCGUUAAGUUGCAGGGUAUAGACCCGAAACCCGGUGAUCUAGCCAUGGGCAGGUUGAAGGUUGGGUAACACUAACUGGAGGACCGAACCGACUAAUGUUGAAAAAUUAGCGGAUGACCUGUGGCUGGGGGUGAAAGGCCAAUCAAACCGGGAGAUAGCUGGUUCUC
RNAcentral lists this ribosomal RNA (438 nucleotides) under Enterobacter hormaechei. Its description in RNAcentral is "partial 23S ribosomal RNA". It matches the Rfam family "Bacterial large subunit ribosomal RNA", at positions 416 to 857 of the family's 2925-position model. The record is from RNAcentral. Lineage: Bacteria; Pseudomonadati; Pseudomonadota; Gammaproteobacteria; Enterobacterales; Enterobacteriaceae. RNAcentral also lists the same sequence under 1 other name.